Molecule: RNA transcript, 1404 nt
Organism: Mastomys coucha (southern multimammate mouse)
Lineage: Eukaryota; Metazoa; Chordata; Mammalia; Rodentia; Muridae
Gene name: aconitate hydratase, mitochondrial pseudogene
Exons: 3
Source: RefSeq, a predicted model, not a curated record
AUGGAGAAAUCUAGAAAGAAUAAACAGGAAGCUCCCAUUCUUGCUUUCUUUUGUCUCAUUGAACAGCUGGAAGACAAAGUUAUACUGUUCAGGGAAGAUAUCUUGGAGAAAGAUGUGCACGUAAAGAUAACUCUAGACCCCAGCAAAGGUACCUCCAAAUUACUCAUCACUGAAUCAGUGCUGGGACAGUAUCAGAAGGCAAGAGAAAGCAUCACUCACAAGAUUAAAAGAGAAAAGCAACAGGAAAAACACAUGGAUGAUAAGCAGGCAUUUGCCCAUGGACUCAAGUGCAAGUCCCAAUUCACCAUCACCCCAGGCUCUGAGCAGAUCCGUGCCACUAUUGAACGGGAUGGCUAUGCACAGAUCCUAAGGGAUGUGGGUGGAAUCGUUUUGGCCAAUGCCUGUGGCCCUUGCAUCGGUCAGUGGGACAGGAAAGACAUAAAGGAUGGGGAGAAAAAUACAAUCGUCACCUCCUACAAUAGGAACUUCAUGGGCCGUAACGAGAUGCAAACCCUGAGACCCAUGCCUUUGUCACAUCCCCAGAGAUUGUCACAGCUCUGGACAUUGCGGGAACCCUUUAAGUUCAACCCAGAAACUGACUUUUUGACAGGUAAGGAUGGCAAGAAGUUCAUGUUGGAGGCUCCAGAUGCAGAUGAGCUUCCCCGAUCGGACUUUGACCCAGGUCAGGACACGUACCAGCACCCCACUAAAGACAGCAGUGGCCUGCGGGUGGAUGUGAGCCCUACCAGCCAGCACCUGCAGCUCCUGAAGCCUUUUGACAAGUGGGAUGGCAAAGACCUGGAAGACCUGCAAAUCCUCAUCAAGGUCAAAGGGAAGUGCACCACAGACCACAUUUCUGCUGCUGGCCCCCGGCUCAAGUUCCGUGGGCAUCUGGAUAACAUCCCUAAUAACCUACUCUUUGGUGCCAUCAACAUUGAAAAUGACAAAGCCAACUCUGUGCGCAAUGCUGUCACCCAGGAGUUUGGCCCUGUACCCUACACUGCUCACUACUACAAGAAACAUGGCAUCAGGUGGGUGGUGAUUGGAGAUAAGAACUAUGUUGAAGGCUCAAGCCAGGUGCAUGCAACACUGGAGCCUCGCCACCUGGGAGGCCGGGCCAUUAUCACCAAGAGCUUCACCAGAAUCCAUGAAACCAAUCUAAAGAAGGGCUUGCUGGCCCUCACCUUUGCCGACCUCUCUGACUACAACAAGAUUCAUCCAGUUGACAAGCUGAUCAUUCAAGGCCUGAAGGACUUUGCCCCUGGCAAGCCUCAGAACUGCAUUAUCAAGCACCCCAACGGGACCCAGGAAACCUUCCUGCUGAACCACACUUUCAGUGAGAUGCAGAUCGAGUGGUUCCGUGCAGGCAGUGCUCUGAACAGGAUGAAGGAGCUGCAGCAGUGA